Molecule: ribosomal RNA, 439 nt
Filed under: uncultured bacterium
Lineage: Bacteria
Description: partial 16S ribosomal RNA
Rfam family: Bacterial small subunit ribosomal RNA
Source: RNAcentral
CUACGGGUGGCAGCAGUGGGGAAUAUUGCACAAUGGAGGAAACUCUGAUGCAGCAACGCCGCGUGGAGGAUGACACUUUUCGGAGCGUAAACUCCUUUUAUAUAGGAAGAAGAUGACGGUACUAUAUGAAUAAGCGCCGGCUAACUCCGUGCCAGCAGCCGCGGCAAUACGGAGGGCGCAAGCGUUACUCGGAAUCACUGGGCGUAAAGAGCGUGUAGGCGGAUUAAAAAGUCAGAAGUGAAAUCCUAUAGCUUAACUAUAGAACUGCUUCUGAAACUCUUAAUCUAGAAUAUGGGAGAGGUAGAUGGAAUUUCCGGUGUAGGGGUAAAAUCCGUAGAGAUCAGAAGGAAUACCGAUUGCGAAGGCGAUCUACUAGAACAUUAUUGACGCUGAGACGCGAAAGCGUGGGGAGCAAACAGGAUUAGAUACCCCCGUAGUC